GAUGAACGCUAGCUACAGGCUUAACACAUGCAAGUCGAGGGGUAACGAGAGGAAAGCUUGCUUUCCUUGUCGACGACCGGCGCACGGGUGAGUAACGCGUAUCCAACCUGCCCCCAACUAGGGAAUAACCUUGCGAAAGUAAGACUAAUACCCUAUAAUUUCCUCAGAUGUCAUCUGACGAGGAAUAAAGAUUUAUCGGUUGUGGAUGGGGAUGCGUCUGAUUAGCUUGUUGGCGGGGUAACGGCCCACCAAGGCAACGAUCAGUAGGGGUUCUGAGAGGAAGGUCCCCAAAAUUGGAACUGAGACACGGUCCAAACGCCUACGGGAGGCAGCAGUGAGGAAUAUUGGUCAAUGGGCGGAAGCCUGAACCAGCCAAGUAGCGUGCAGGAUGACGGCCCUAUGGGUUGUAAACUGCUUUUAUACAGGAAUAAAGUUAGCCACGUGUGGUUAUUUGUAGGUACUGUAUGAAUAAGGACCGGCUAAUUCCGUGCCAGCCGCCGCGGUAA
RNAcentral lists this ribosomal RNA (506 nucleotides) under uncultured bacterium. RNAcentral's name for it is "partial 16S ribosomal RNA". It matches the Rfam family "Bacterial small subunit ribosomal RNA", at positions 28 to 523 of the family's 1533-position model. The record is from RNAcentral.